UAGGGAAGCUUCGGCAAUGGACGGAAGUCUGACCGAGCAACGCCGCGUGAGUGAAGAAGGUUUUCGGAUCGUAAAGCUCUGUUGUUAGAGAAGAACGUUGGUAGGAGUGGAAAAUCUACCAAGUGACGGUAACUAACCAGAAAGGGACGGCUAACUACGUGCCAGCAGCCGCGGUAAUACGGAGGUCCCGAGCGUUGUCCGGAUUUAUUGGGCGUAAAGCGAGCGCAGGCGGUUCUUUAAGUCUGAAGUUAAAGGCAGUGGCUUAACCAUUGUACUCUUUGGAAACAGGAGGACUUGAGUGCAGAAGGGGAGAGUGGAAUUCCAUGUGUAGCGGUGAAGUGCGUAGAUAUAUGGAGGAACACCGGUGGCGAAAGCGGCUCUCUGGUCUGUAACUGACGCUGAGGCUCGAAAGCGUGGGGAGCAAACAGG
RNAcentral lists this ribosomal RNA (429 nucleotides) under Bacillota bacterium. Its description in RNAcentral is "Firmicutes bacterium partial 16S ribosomal RNA". It matches the Rfam family "Bacterial small subunit ribosomal RNA", at positions 355 to 776 of the family's 1533-position model. The record is from RNAcentral. Lineage: Bacteria; Bacillati; Bacillota.